This 206-nucleotide ribosomal RNA is filed under the name uncultured bacterium. Its description in RNAcentral is "partial 16S ribosomal RNA". It matches the Rfam family "Bacterial small subunit ribosomal RNA", at positions 1290 to 1500 of the family's 1533-position model. The record is from RNAcentral.
AGUUCGGAUCGGAGUCUGNAACCCGACUCCGUGAAGCUGGAUUCGCUAGUAAUCGCGCAUCAGCCAUGGCGCGGUGAAUACGUUCCCGGGCCUUGUACACACCGCCCGUCAAGCCAUGGGAGCCGGGGGCGCCUGAAGUCCGGGACCGCGAGGGGGAGCUGUCGAAGGCGGGGCCGGUGACCGGGGUGAAGUCGUAACAAGGUAUC